This 72-nucleotide transfer RNA is filed under the name Podarcis lilfordi (Lilford's wall lizard). It matches the Rfam family "tRNA". Rfam says of the family: Transfer RNA (tRNA) molecules are approximately 80 nucleotides in length. Their secondary structure includes four short double-helical elements and three loops (D, anti-codon, and T loops). The record is from Rfam by way of RNAcentral. Lineage: Eukaryota; Metazoa; Chordata; Lepidosauria; Squamata; Lacertidae.
GCCAGUGUGGCAUAGUGGGUAGUGUGUCAGACUAGGACCUGGGAGACCAGGGUUCAAAUCCCCACUCUGCCA